This 464-nucleotide ribosomal RNA is filed under the name uncultured bacterium. RNAcentral's name for it is "partial 16S ribosomal RNA". It matches the Rfam family "Bacterial small subunit ribosomal RNA", at positions 339 to 795 of the family's 1533-position model. The record is from RNAcentral.
CUACGGGUGGCAGCAGUGGGGAAUAUUGCACAAUGGGCGCAAGCCUGAUGCAGCCAUGCCGCGUGUAUGAAGAAGGCCUUCGGGUUGUAAAGUACUUUCAGCGGGGAGGAAGGGAGUAAAGUUAAUACCUUUGCUCAUUGACGUUACCCGCAGAAGAAGCACCGGCUAACUCCGUGCCAGCAGCCGCGGUAAUACGGAGGGUGCAAGCGUUAAUCGGAAUUACUGGGCGUAAAGCGCACGCAGGCGGUUUGUUAAGUCAGAUGUGAAAUCCCCGGGCUCAACCUGGGAACGGCAUCGGAUACUGGCAAGCUUGAGUGUCGAAGAGGGGGGUAGAAUUCCAGGUGUAGCGGUGAAAUGCGUAGAGAUCUGGAGGAAUACCGGUGGCGAAGGCGGCCCCCUGGACGAAGACUGACGCUCAGGUGCGAAAGCGUGGGGAGCAAACAGGAUUAGAUACCCCCGUAGUC